GCCCGGCUAGCUCAGUUGGUAGAGCAUUCGACUCUUACAUAAUAAUGGGUUGCGCGCGGUUUUUCACGCUAUCGAAUUGUCGUGGGUUCGAGCCCCACGUUGGGCG
RNAcentral lists this transfer RNA (106 nucleotides) under Puccinia triticina 1-1 BBBD Race 1. RNAcentral's name for it is "Puccinia triticina tRNA PTTG_20038". It matches the Rfam family "tRNA". Rfam says of the family: Transfer RNA (tRNA) molecules are approximately 80 nucleotides in length. Their secondary structure includes four short double-helical elements and three loops (D, anti-codon, and T loops). Further hydrogen bonds mediate the characteristic L-shaped molecular structure. tRNAs have two regions of fundamental functional importance: the anti-codon, which is responsible for specific mRNA codon recognition, and the 3' end, to which the tRNAs corresponding amino acid is attached (by aminoacyl-tRNA synthetases). tRNAs cope with the degeneracy of the genetic code in two manners: having more than one tRNA (with a specific anti-codon) for a particular amino acid; and 'wobble' base-pairing, i.e. permitting non-standard base-pairing at the 3rd anti-codon position. Lineage: Eukaryota; Fungi; Basidiomycota; Pucciniomycetes; Pucciniales; Pucciniaceae. The record is from Rfam by way of RNAcentral.